Molecule: ribosomal RNA, 385 nt
Filed under: uncultured Lactobacillus sp.
Lineage: Bacteria; Bacillati; Bacillota; Bacilli; Lactobacillales; Lactobacillaceae
Description: bacterial SSU rRNA
Rfam family: Bacterial small subunit ribosomal RNA
Source: RNAcentral
UAAUACGGGAUAAGAAAGACAGAUCGCAUGAUCAGCUUUUAAAAAGGUACGGCGUAAGCUGUCGCUAUGGGAUGGCCCCGCCGGUGCAUUAGCUAGUUGGUAAGGUAAAAGGACGUUACCAAGGCGAUGAUGCAUAGCCGAGUUGAGAGACUGAUCGGCCACAUUGGGACUGAGACACGGCCCAAACUCCUACGGGAGGCAGCAGUAGGGAAUCUUCCACAAUGGACGCAAGUCUGAUGGAGCAACGCCGCGUGAGUGAAGAAGGUUUUCGGUAUCGUAAAGCUCUGUUGUUGGUGAAGAAGGAUAGAGGUAGUAACUGGCCUUUAUUUGACGGUAAUCAACCAGAAAGUCACGGGCUAACUACGUGCCAGCAGCCGCGGUAAAU